CCUACGGGAGGCAGCAGUGGGGAAUAUUGCACAAUGGGGGAAACCCUGAUCCAGCGACGCCGCGUGAAUGAAGAAGUAUUUCGGUAUGUAAAGUUCUAUCAGCAGGGAAGAAAAUGACGGAACCUGACUAAGAAUCCCCGGCUAACUACGUGCCAGCAGCCGCGGUAAUACGUUGGGGGCAAGCUUUAGCCGGUUUUAAUGGGGGGAAUGGGAGCGUAGGCGGUUUAGCAAGUCAGAAGUGAAAGCCCGGCGCUCAAACCCGGGACAGCUUUUGAAACUGUUGAACUAGAUUGCAGGAGAGGUAAGUGGAAUUCCUAGUGUAGCGGUGAAAUGCGUAGAUAUUAGGAGGAACACCAGUGGCGAAGGCGGCUUACUGGACUGUAAAUGACGCUGAGGCUCGAAAGCGUGGGGAGCAAACAGGAUUAGAUACCCCAGUAGUC
Molecule: ribosomal RNA, 440 nt
Filed under: uncultured bacterium
Lineage: Bacteria
Description: partial 16S ribosomal RNA
Rfam family: Bacterial small subunit ribosomal RNA
Source: RNAcentral